UAGCAGCACAUCAUGGUUUGCAUGCUCUGCUCAGGGUGCAAAUCAUGAUUUGCUGCUGUA
RNAcentral lists this microRNA precursor (60 nucleotides) under Taeniopygia guttata (zebra finch). RNAcentral's name for it is "Tgu-Mir-15-P1b_pre stem-loop". Lineage: Eukaryota; Metazoa; Chordata; Aves; Passeriformes; Estrildidae. The record is from RNAcentral.